UGAUGCAAUUUUGGUGAUGUAC
Molecule: non-coding RNA, 22 nt
Filed under: Arabidopsis thaliana (thale cress)
Lineage: Eukaryota; Viridiplantae; Streptophyta; Magnoliopsida; Brassicales; Brassicaceae
Source: RNAcentral